GCCUUCGGGCAUUUGGUCAAUUUGAAACGAUACAGAGAAGAUGUAAGGAACCCCAGUUCGAAUUCGCACGUAACCAACUAACAUUGUAACAGUAGCAUGGCCCCUGCACUAAGGAUGACACGCUUAAUCAAAGAGAUGCAACCAAUUUUU
This 150-nucleotide small nuclear RNA is filed under the name Xylariales sp. No.14919. The record is from RNAcentral. Lineage: Eukaryota; Fungi; Ascomycota; Sordariomycetes; Xylariales.